This 412-nucleotide ribosomal RNA is filed under the name uncultured Limnohabitans sp. RNAcentral's name for it is "bacterial SSU rRNA". It matches the Rfam family "Bacterial small subunit ribosomal RNA", at positions 1 to 419 of the family's 1533-position model. Lineage: Bacteria; Pseudomonadati; Pseudomonadota; Betaproteobacteria; Burkholderiales; Comamonadaceae. The record is from RNAcentral.
CUCGGAGUUUGAUCCUGGCUCAGAUUGAACGCUGGCGGAAUGCUUUACACAUGCAAGUCGAACGGUAGAGGGGGCAACCCCUCGAGAGUGGCGAACGGGUGAGUAAUAUAUCGGAACGUGCCCAGUCGUGGGGGAUAACGUAGCGAAAGUUACGCGUAAUACCGCAUACGAUCUAAGGAUGAAAGCGGGGAUCGCAAGACCUCGCGCGAUUGGAGCGGCCGAUAUCAGAUUAGGUAGUUGGUGGGUAAAGGCUCACCAAGCCAACGAUCUGUAGCUGGUCUGAGAGGACGACCAGCCACACUGGAACUGAGACACGGUCCAGACUCCGUACGGGAGGCAGCAGUGGGGAAUAUUGGUCAAUGGGCGCAAGCCUAGAACCAGCCCAUGCCCGCGUGCAGGAACGAAUGCCCUA